RNAcentral lists this ribosomal RNA (253 nucleotides) under uncultured Sutterella sp. RNAcentral describes it as "partial 16S ribosomal RNA". It matches the Rfam family "Bacterial small subunit ribosomal RNA", at positions 524 to 776 of the family's 1533-position model. The record is from RNAcentral. Lineage: Bacteria; Pseudomonadati; Pseudomonadota; Betaproteobacteria; Burkholderiales; Sutterellaceae.
UACGGAGGAUGCGAGCGUUAAUCGGAAUUACUGGGCGUAAAGGGUGUGCAGGCGGUUUUGCAAGAUGGAUGUGAAAGCCCCGGGCUUAACCUGGGAAAGCCAUACAUGACUGCAAGACUAGAGUGCGUCAGAGGGGGGUGGAAUUCCAAGUGUAGCAGUGAAAUGCGUAGAUAUAUGGAAGAACACCAGUGGCGAAGGCGGCCGCCUGGCCUGUUGCUGACGCUGAGGCACGAAAGCGUGGGGAGCAAAUAGG